AUGGCGUCCCGCCGCCUAAGCAACGGCCGCUCCCCUCUCGUGGGGAAGCAGAGCCAGANNNNNNNNNNNNNNNNNNNNNNNUCCCCUUCCCCCUCCGCCUCCACCCCGAAGCCCGCCGCAGAACCCUCCCCGUCGCCGCUGAACCCUAAGGCGAGGAAGCCCCCUCUCGUCGUGCCCUCCCCUCCCCCACCAAAGCCGUCUCCGUCUCCGCCGCCGCAGCUGCAGCAGGAGAAGAAGAAACAUGAUGCAGCGGCGGCGCCUGCGGGAGAGGCGGUGGGGCGGCGGCUGCGGGUGUACUGGCCGCUGGACGACGCGUGGUACGAGGGCACGGUGGAUGCCUACGACGGGGGCUCCCGCCGGCACCGCGUGAAGUACGACGAUGGGGAGGAGGAGGAGGUCGACCUCGUCAAGGAGAAAUUCGAGUGGGCCGCCGAGGAGGCAACGCCGCCGGCCAGGAAGCUGCGACGUCUUCGGAGGAUGUCUGACACCGCAAAGGCGAAGUCGCCGUCUGUGCAGGAGGAUGAGGAGACUGGGGAUUCCACUGAGGACGAGGACUGGAAGAAGGAUGCUGCUCCAGAGGAUGAUUCUGAGGGGGAGGAAGUGGAGUUGGACGACGAAGAGGAAGAGGUUGUUGCGGUCAGUUCGCGAAAGGGGAAAUCAAGGAACUCCUUGUCCACGUCUGCUUCAGUGUCCACACUGCGGUCAACGUCUGGUCUUGGCUCAGCAUCGUUAGGGUCAACGUUAUCAAAGAAGAGGAAACAAGUGGAUGUAGGUGCAUUGGAUUGUGCUAAGAAGUUCAGCUUUCAACCAGCUAACACCCCUGAAAAGGCUGAAAUGAAGGUGCCACCGAGCUGUGAUAGGAGAGAGGAUUUUAGAGAAUGCUCACCUUGCUCUUACUGGAGACCUGUCUGA
Molecule: ribosomal RNA, 912 nt
Filed under: Triticum aestivum (bread wheat)
Lineage: Eukaryota; Viridiplantae; Streptophyta; Magnoliopsida; Poales; Poaceae
Description: partial small subunit ribosomal RNA
Source: RNAcentral